UACGAAGGGGGCUAGCGUUGUUCGGAAUUACUGGGCGUAAAGGGCGCGCAGGCGGUUCCUCAAGUCAGGCGUGAAAGCCCCGGGCUCAACCUGGGAACUGCGCUUGAGACUGCGGGACUGGAGUUCGGGAGAGGAGAGCGGAAUUCCCAGUGUAGAGGUGAAAUUCGUAGAUAUCGGGAGGAACACCAGUGGCGAAGGCGGCCUUCUGGACGAACACUGACGCUGAGACGCGAAAGCGUGGGUAGCAAACAGG
RNAcentral lists this ribosomal RNA (253 nucleotides) under uncultured bacterium. RNAcentral describes it as "partial 16S ribosomal RNA". It matches the Rfam family "Bacterial small subunit ribosomal RNA", at positions 524 to 776 of the family's 1533-position model. The record is from RNAcentral.